AAAAAAUAGGGGUUGUAGGGGAUGGAAUCCCCUGCCGCCUUCAGGAAGGUGCUCAGACAGCUUUGCUGUCGUCGAAGGAAAC
Molecule: small RNA, 82 nt
Organism: Geosporobacter ferrireducens
Lineage: Bacteria; Bacillati; Bacillota; Clostridia; Peptostreptococcales; Thermotaleaceae
Rfam family: Clostridiales-2 RNA
Source: Rfam